GGGGUGCAGCAGGCGCGAAACCUCUGCAAUAAGCGAAAGCUUGACAGGGUUAUUCUGAGUGAUUUCCGCUAAGGAAGUCUUUUGGCACCUCUAAAAAUGGUGCAGAAUAAGGGGUGGGCAAGCCUGGUGUCAGCCGCCGCGGUAAUACCAGCACCCCGAGUGGUCGGGACGAUUAUUGGGCCUAAAGCAUCCGUAGCCGGUUCUACAAGUCUUCCGUUAAAUCCAGCUGCUUAACAGUUGGGCUGCGGAGGAUACUAUAGAGCUAGGAGGCGGGAGAGGCAAGCGGUACUUAGUGGGUAGGGGUAAAAUCCGUUGAUCCACUGAAGACCACCAGUGGCGAAGGCGGCUUGCCAGAACGCGCUCGACGGUGAGGGAUGAAAGCUGGGGGAGCAAACCGGAUUAGAUACCCGGGUAGUCCCAGCUGUAAACGAUGCAGACUCGGUGAUGAAUAGGCUUCGUGCAUAUUCAGUGCCGCAGGGAAGCCGUUAAGUCUGCCGCCUGGGGAGUACGGUCGCAGGACUGAAACUUAAAGGAAUUGGCGGGGGAGCAC
RNAcentral lists this ribosomal RNA (550 nucleotides) under uncultured crenarchaeote. Its description in RNAcentral is "bacterial SSU rRNA". It matches the Rfam family "Archaeal small subunit ribosomal RNA", at positions 327 to 879 of the family's 1478-position model. Lineage: Archaea; Thermoproteati; Thermoproteota. The record is from RNAcentral.